This is a long non-coding RNA of Nyctereutes procyonoides (raccoon dog), 3228 nucleotides long. RefSeq lists it as uncharacterized. The transcript has 2 exons. Lineage: Eukaryota; Metazoa; Chordata; Mammalia; Carnivora; Canidae. The record is from RefSeq and is a predicted model, not a curated record.
GAGUCCUUCUUCACCUUUGCCUUGGAAAAACCCGUUUCUCUCUUUUAUUGUCUCUUACCUAUUUCUCAACCUUCUAUUUCCAAAAGCCCCACGGAGCCCUGCCACAUGCUGCAAACCCUCUCUUCCAGCUACUGCUGCUCUCUCUAAUCCAGUUCCACUCUUCCCUGCUUCCAUGUUCUUUUUUUCUUAAAGGGAGGAUGACUCUUCAGGACCGGCCCCCACCCCACCCCCCCUCGGGAACAGGCCUGCUCCACUGGAUCCGACACAGUAAGUGUUUCUCCUUUCUUAGCUCCAGCCGUCCAACCCCAGGAGUGAACGAACAUCCCGAGACUCGGAAUUCCUUCUCUUCCUCUCAUACACCUGAGUCUCCAGCCAUCUCUUUGUUCUGAGUGAUCUUAUGGGAAAAAAAAAAAAAAAAAAGCCUAUUUAUUAUUUUGCAUCAAGCUCCGAGAAGGUACGGACACGCAUGCUUCCAGGUGAGUCUGAAAUCUGUGAUUUGGGGUGCUUCGGAAAACCCAAGCCGAGCGCCUGUACCAGGAGGAUCUCUGGACAGUUAAAGAGAAGAUUAUGGGCCGUGGAAAGAAGCCACACUCACUGGAGGUUGAUUAUCCACUUCUUCCAAAGCUAAAAUAGGAGGACCUACUUCAUUUUACCCAAAUCCCAGGCCAGUUCUACGUUUGGGGGUGGGGGGCAGUUUCCCACGGUCUCAGGCAAUAAUUGUCACCGAUAAUGGGAAUUGGGGUGGUAAGGUGGGUGCCGAGCAGUUAAGUACCAAGAUUACAGUUCUUUCUAGAUUUCACGGCGAUUUGCCCAACUAGAGGAAUGGGGUGGGGCGGGGGAGGGGGUGCAGUCCUGGCCUCUCAGGGCUGGGCCGCAGGGUACGACUAUAACAAGAAAUUUCAGGACCCGACUCCAUUCUUCGGUUCUUGUGUCCACGUUGGUCUUAUUGGGAAGCCGUGUGGGGCACAGGUCCCGGGGCAGUUGGGGAACAGGAGAGCAGUCAUCGGGUGAACUUACUCUAAAACCAGCACAGGAACAAUUUGCUUCUCUGACCCAACCCUACAACUGCAGGUGGCCAAGGAGAAAGCACUGGGCCAUCGAGUUGACAAAGGCAUGGUGGGUAGAGAAUCUUGAACUCUAGGGAUGGGGUCCAGGCUGGGUCUAGGCUCCUGAUGCAGGUUCUAGGCUCAUCUUCCCUUGUCUCUGCCUUGCCUUGCGGCAGGUCUGUAGGGCAAGGGUCAAUGAUACCUCCUGUUUGUAUGGCCUUGCACAGCUAAAGUGCUUUGACAGACACUGUCCUCUCUGGGGGAUCCACUGUAGAGGCUAAAAACCCUACACGAGGGUGAGAGUCUGCACCCUCCAAGUGAGGCCUUGAAGAAUCUGGUGGACCGUACAUGUUGGGAGGGUAAGGGUGGCGUCGUGAGGGUCUGAAAGGAGACCAAUGGGGCCCUUUGCUGUCCGAGUUGGACUGAAAUCCAAGGAGAAAGCAAAGGAUCCUUCCAUUCCCCAGACUAUUUCCUCCCACCAUCUUCUGCUAUCACUUCUCAGAGCCAGCCGGGCCAGUCUCUGGUUUCCCUGGCUGUGAAAUGGGCCACAGGCAGUGCAGGAUUAUAAGGUCCAAAUAAUGCACAGGCAGGGUGCGUGUCUCUCUCGUGAUUGAGAAUCGUGAGUAUUUAUGAAGAACGCUGAGUGGGGGAGGAUGGGCCCUCCUUCUUCCCCUUGGUACCCAGCUCCCUGCCCCCAGCACCACCCGUGUUCACCCUGACCAAGGACAGCCAGGCUCUGCUUCAGCAAGAGCUGCGACAGCCUAGCCCUUGUUCCAGAGCCCUAUGCCCAGGGGGCUGGAUCUUGGGGGAGGAGCCACAACCUAAGCUAGGGCCUCCCUGUAUCGGGUCAGGACAAGCCCCAGGAAGAAAGUAUUCCAAACAACAGGGUGGAUCUGCCCAAACCCACCCAGUCUGUACGUUGGUGCUGAGAACAGCCUUUUAUGGGGCUUAUACUGAGCCACAGGCGUGCCCGGACACAGCAAGGAAGAGGCCAGAGCAGCAACUAAGCAGCAACUGGAGCAUGGGCAUUGCUUUUAAGAGGACAGAAAGCCUCUGAGGCUUCCAUCCUCCCUGUCUAGGUCAGCUUCUGCGAGCCAGGCCACCGCCUCCCGCCGCACAUGCCCCAACGCCAUGCCCAGAGAAUAUGGGAUUGUUCCCAUGAUUUGGCCCAGGAUGUGGAGUCACCGGAAAGUAGACAUCCUAGAUAAGUCCGAAGGGGUGAGACCAAGGAGUCUCCCCCUGCUUUGCCCACUCCUGCCCUCAGGAAUGGGCCUGGCUCCCCACCCCACCCCACCCCACUGCCACCCAGGCAUCCUGGUCCCUCCACAGCUCCGCACCCACCUCCGCUGGGUUUCCUACUGGCAGACGGGCCUACAGAGUACAGUUCAUGCUCUUUGGAUGCUGCAUUCUGGAAAGAAUGCGUCCCAUCCCCUUGGUAAACAAGUUCCUUAGAGAUGGAUUUUUCUCAAGCAAUUUCAGAGCACCUGCACCCCCCAGCCAGGACCAACCAGAUGGAGCUCAGGUCUGGCGCACACAGGGGACAUAGACGAGGGAGACGAUAACCAGCAUCCCAACCGGGGAAAUGCAGAGAAGGUUCUCCCGUGGACUGCCCUGCGGAUUUCAGUGGAGUGAAGUUCAGGAGGCGUGGACCUGACACCGCAGCGGCCGCAGCAGCAGCAAGAGUAGCUCUGACUGAGAAGAGGAAAGGCCCAGGGAGGGAUGUGGGUGCGGAAAGGAGACAUCUGGAGCGCAUCUCCCCCUGCAGAGGGGCUGGGGGCUGGGCGGUGGGCAGAUUGCAAAAGACACCCCAGAUGGGAGCCGUGGAUUCCUUCUUGUCUCAAAGUGAUGCGAUGGAAAUGUGUGUGUGGUUUUUUUUUUCUGUAACUUCUACAAAUUAAAAGUUGUCUGUGUGCUGGAAAGCCUGCCUCUGUGAUUCAUGCUGUGGGAUGAGGACUCCCUGGCCUUCUAAGUCACCUCCCCUUUGGGCUAAAAUGGACACAGGCCCCCCUCUCUCUCCUGGGGUUCUCCAGGCAGGUGGCUGGAGCCCUAGUCGCAAGCCAUAGGGGGCCCCUGUUGCCCUCAGGCUCUGGAGGCGCCCGCAGGACCUGCAGCACUGGGUAAAAAACCCGAUUAAGAUUUCUUUAAACCCAUUUAUAUUGUAAUAAAAUAAAUGUAAAUAAGA